UGCGCAGGCGGCGUCACGCGUGGAUAGUUGAAAUCUCCUGGCUUACCUGGGAGGGUGGUAUCCAGACGGUGGCGCUUGAGGGUCGGAGAGGGGCGUGGAAUUCCGGGUGGAGCGGUGAAAUGCGUAGAGAUCCGGAGGAACACCGACGGCGUAGGCAGCGCCCUGGACGACACCUGACGCUGAGGCACGAAAGCUGGGGGAGCGAACA
This 208-nucleotide ribosomal RNA is filed under the name uncultured bacterium. Its description in RNAcentral is "partial 16S ribosomal RNA". It matches the Rfam family "Bacterial small subunit ribosomal RNA", at positions 568 to 774 of the family's 1533-position model. The record is from RNAcentral.